This 74-nucleotide microRNA precursor is filed under the name Bombyx mori (domestic silkworm). RNAcentral describes it as "mir-2807 microRNA precursor family". It matches the Rfam family "mir-2807 microRNA precursor family". Lineage: Eukaryota; Metazoa; Arthropoda; Insecta; Lepidoptera; Bombycidae. The record is from Rfam by way of RNAcentral.
UUUACUCAAUUUUUUAUGGAGUUGGAACGUUUGCCCCUAGGGGCGCUGUUCCAACUGCAUACCAAUUUGAGUUA